RNAcentral lists this transfer RNA (70 nucleotides) under Napialus hunanensis. Its description in RNAcentral is "tRNA-Met". It matches the Rfam family "tRNA". From Rfam's summary of the family: Transfer RNA (tRNA) molecules are approximately 80 nucleotides in length. The record is from RNAcentral. Lineage: Eukaryota; Metazoa; Arthropoda; Insecta; Lepidoptera; Hepialidae.
AAAAAAAUAAGCUAAUUAAAGCUUUUGGAUUCAUACUUCAAAAAUAAAGGUAAUAAUCCUUUUUUUUUUA